CCAUAUGUUGUGUUUAGAUGAUGAACUAUUAAUGUACAGUAUGAUAAUUCAACAGACCUGUCUUGUUUGGAUCACUUUCAAACAAAUGCUUGUUUCUCCUCUUCUCGUCUGCUUUUGUUUCUUUCGCUUCCAUAUUCCGCUUCUGCUUGUUGCGAUAGUCUCCACCGGUGUUAACUUGCUUCACCAAACACAGCGUCAAUCAAGGCAUGUGUUUAAUAAUGUAUGAUUGUUGACUUUACUUUUGUUGGUGACUUGGAAAAAAGAAGAUCAAUUACAGGCAAUAUAAGUGUCUAAUUUACUCUUUUAAGUGGAAUUUAGAGCUUCAUUCCACGACAAACCAUCUUUGAAUCGGAUGGUUGUAGCUCUCUGCUUUCUUUACAAGGGCUGGGGUUCGGGUCAUGUGGCUCCUGUUUAGGUUUCUUUUUAGUAAUUGGAAUUCAGAGGUUCAUUCCAUGACAAACCAUCUUUGAAUUGGAUGGUUGUACCUCUCUGCUUUCUUUACAAUGGCUGACGCGUCCUUAGGGUUUAGUUUCUAAGCUCUUUGCUGUUUGGAUUCAGGAAAUGUACGGUCUUGCUUAAAAAAUCCAAGUUCCUUCAGUAUGAUAUGCCAAGGUUUUCUACGUAUCUGGUUGUCAUUUUGUUUAGAACACUUCUCUAGUUGCGAAAGUUGUGAAGGGUUAGCUUAAUUCAUGUCUUUCCAUGGGUUCUCCAGCAAUGCGGUUGUUCUGCUUCCCUUCCUGGUUACAUGAAAACAAUACUGAUUGGCAACAGGACAGUUUCAAUGUUUUAGAGUUAUUCCAAAGAUAUCUGAAUAUCUUUUUACAAGGUAUUAUAGUUGCUUUUCUUUGAAGUUAGAUUAAGUUGCAGCUGACUUGUUCUGAGUUCUUUUUUUGUUGUCUUUGCAGCCAAUAGUUAUUUGUAUGGUUCGCUAUUAUGUUCUGGGCCAUUCUCUAAUUCAAUCUGUGAUAUAAUUUUUUGUUUCAUUGCUGCUGAUUUUUCUUUUCCUAUUAGUGAUAAAAAUUUCUUGUCCAGUUAUUAUUUUCUUAAUUCAAUCAUAUAGAAGAGUUAUUCAUGCAAUUCUUUUGUUGUAUGUAUUGGUCUUGAACAGCUUGCAAACUGCAAGCCCUCCAGCUUAUCCCAGUGCUCAUUUAGUUGGAAAUGCUUUUGUUGAUCAGUACUACCAUAUUCUUCACCACUCACCAGAAUUGGUUUAUAGAUUUUAUCAGGAUUCAAGUGUGAUCCAUCUUGUGUUAUGUAAUGCACCAAUGUAUGCUAUAGAUGUGAAUCCAGAAAGCAACAUGCUAUAAAAUUGUUGUGAAGUCUAAAACUUAGACUGGGUGAUGGAACAAAAUAUUAGACACACCUGUUAGAUUGCAGCCAAACCUUAAAAAAGAUAAAGAUAACAACUGAAGUUACAACCUUCCGUUUUGGCAUCUUUCAUCACAAAUGAUAUUGACAUCUUCAAGAUGUCAGUAUCUGUUGACCAGUUGCUAUUAUCGUUUCCUACAAUUCAUAUAUAACUUUCUAACAUAUCAUGAACCUUCGAGCUAGAAAAUAUUGUGCAAACUUGCUGGUUUUUUUUUUUCGAAAUAAAAAGUGUAGAACUAUAUUAACUUGCUGGUUUUUCACAAGUUAAAUCACUUCAGGUGUUGAAGUCAGCGGAGAGUUCUUGCUUUACUCUGAUUUUUUUUCAUGUUUAUAGCAAUGAAGAUAGCUUUUGCAGGAUCCCCUCGUCAAGGAAACUAUAUAAGAUGGCCGUACUCUUGCUGAAACUACAGAGAUUAUUGGUGCAGAAGAGGGAAUAGCUCCAUAAUAGAGGGAUUACAAUAUUAAGAUGUUAUAUCAUUAUGAUCUUUUAUGGAUCAUCAAAGAUAUGUAGUUGAUUUAGGAAAUUAUUCUUAAUUUAAGUUUAUUAUUUCUUAUUUAGUUAAGAGUCCUUUUCAUUCCAUGCUUCCUAUUUCAUAUUCUAGAAAUCGUAAGAUAUCUAGAAACUGUGUUAAUAGUUUACACUACUCAAUUAUUAGGAAGAAUCUUAUGAAGAAAA
Carica papaya (papaya) is the source of this 2044-nucleotide non-coding RNA. The record is from RefSeq and is a predicted model, not a curated record. Lineage: Eukaryota; Viridiplantae; Streptophyta; Magnoliopsida; Brassicales; Caricaceae.